RNAcentral lists this ribosomal RNA (1516 nucleotides) under Bacillus licheniformis. Its description in RNAcentral is "bacterial SSU rRNA". It matches the Rfam family "Bacterial small subunit ribosomal RNA". Lineage: Bacteria; Bacillati; Bacillota; Bacilli; Caryophanales; Bacillaceae. The record is from RNAcentral.
AUUAGAGUUUGAUCCUGGCUCAGGACGAACGCUGGCGGCGUGCCUAAUACAUGCAAGUCGAGCGGACCGACGGGAGCUUGCUCCCUUAGGUCAGCGGCGGACGGGUGAGUAACACGUGGGUAACCUGCCUGUAUGACUGGGAUAACUCCGGGAAACCGGGGCUAAUACCGGAUGCUUGAUUGAACCGCAUGGUUCCAAUCAUAAAAGGUGGCUUUUAGCUACCACUUACAGAUGGACCCGCGGCGCAUUAGCUAGUUGGUGAGGUAACGGCUCACCAAGGCGACGAUGCGUAGCCGACCUGAGAGGGUGAUCGGCCACACUGGGACUGAGACACGGCCCAGACUCCUACGGGAGGCAGCAGUAGGGAAUCUUCCGCAAUGGACGAAAGUCUGACGGAGCAACGCCGCGUGAGUGAUGAAGGUUUUCGGAUCGUAAAACUCUGUUGUUAGGGAAGAACAAGUACCGUUCGAAUAGGGCGGCACCUUGACGGUACCUAACCAGAAAGCCACGGCUAACUACGUGCCAGCAGCCGCGGUAAUACGUAGGUGGCAAGCGUUGUCCGGAAUUAUUGGGCGUAAAGCGCGCGCAGGCGGUUUCUUAAGUCUGAUGUGAAAGCCCCCGGCUCAACCGGGGAGGGUCAUUGGAAACUGGGGAACUUGAGUGCAGAAGAGGAGAGUGGAAUUCCACGUGUAGCGGUGAAAUGCGUAGAGAUGUGGAGGAACACCAGUGGCGAAGGCGACUCUCUGGUCUGUAACUGACGCUGAGGCGCGAAAGCGUGGGGAGCGAACAGGAUUAGAUACCCUGGUAGUCCACGCCGUAAACGAUGAGUGCUAAGUGUUAGAGGGUUUCCGCCCUUUAGUGCUGCAGCAAACGCAUUAAGCACUCCGCCUGGGGAGUACGGUCGCAAGACUGAAACUCAAAGGAAUUGACGGGGGCCCGCACAAGCGGUGGAGCAUGUGGUUUAAUUCGAAGCAACGCGAAGAACCUUACCAGGUCUUGACAUCCUCUGACAACCCUAGAGAUAGGGCUUCCCCUUCGGGGGCAGAGUGACAGGUGGUGCAUGGUUGUCGUCAGCUCGUGUCGUGAGAUGUUGGGUUAAGUCCCGCAACGAGCGCAACCCUUGAUCUUAGUUGCCAGCAUUCAGUUGGGCACUCUAAGGUGACUGCCUGUGACAAACCGGAGGAAGGUGGGGAUGACGUCAAAUCAUCAUGCCCCUUAUGACCUGGGCUACACACGUGCUACAAUGGGCAGAACAAAGGGCAGCGAAGCCGCGAGGCUAAGCCAAUCCCACAAAUCUGUUCUCAGUUCGGAUCGCAGUCUGCAACUCGACUGCGUGAAGCUGGAAUCGCUAGUAAUCGCGGAUCAGCAUGCCGCGGUGGAUACGUUCCCGGGCCUUGUACACACCGCCCGUCACACCACGAGAGUUUGUAACACCCGAAGUCGGUGAGGUAACCUUUUGGAGCCAGCCGCCGAAGGUGGGACAGAUGAUUGGGGUGAAGUCGUAACAAGGUAAAAU